Small nuclear RNA from Mesocricetus auratus (golden hamster), 161 nucleotides. Its record names the gene U1. It matches the Rfam family "U1 spliceosomal RNA". From Rfam's summary of the family: U1 is a small nuclear RNA (snRNA) component of the spliceosome (involved in pre-mRNA splicing). Its 5' end forms complementary base pairs with the 5' splice junction, thus defining the 5' donor site of an intron. There are significant differences in sequence and secondary structure between metazoan and yeast U1 snRNAs, the latter being much longer (568 nucleotides as compared to 164 nucleotides in human). Lineage: Eukaryota; Metazoa; Chordata; Mammalia; Rodentia; Cricetidae. The record is from Ensembl.
UUAGUUACCUGGCAGGAGACAGACCAUGCCCGAAGGUGGUUUUCCCAGAGCCAGGCUCAUUCAUUGCACUCCAGGUGUGCUGACUCCUGCACUUGUCCCAGAUGUGGGAAACUCACCUGCAUAAUUUGUGGAGCAUUGCACUUGAACUCUUCAAAACAAGG